Molecule: transfer RNA, 75 nt
Filed under: Acidimicrobium sp.
Lineage: Bacteria; Bacillati; Actinomycetota; Acidimicrobiia; Acidimicrobiales; Acidimicrobiaceae
Description: tRNA-Arg
Rfam family: tRNA
About the family: Transfer RNA (tRNA) molecules are approximately 80 nucleotides in length. Their secondary structure includes four short double-helical elements and three loops (D, anti-codon, and T loops).
Source: RNAcentral
GCGUUCGUAGCUCAAUGGAUAGAGCAUCUGACUUCGGAUCAGAGGGUUGGCGGUUCGACUAGUCCGAGCGCACCA